Molecule: transfer RNA, 75 nt
Filed under: Candidatus Mesenet longicola
Lineage: Bacteria; Pseudomonadati; Pseudomonadota; Alphaproteobacteria; Rickettsiales; Anaplasmataceae
Description: tRNA-Trp
Rfam family: tRNA
About the family: Transfer RNA (tRNA) molecules are approximately 80 nucleotides in length. Their secondary structure includes four short double-helical elements and three loops (D, anti-codon, and T loops). Further hydrogen bonds mediate the characteristic L-shaped molecular structure. tRNAs have two regions of fundamental functional importance: the anti-codon, which is responsible for specific mRNA codon recognition, and the 3' end, to which the tRNAs corresponding amino acid is attached (by aminoacyl-tRNA synthetases). tRNAs cope with the degeneracy of the genetic code in two manners: having more than one tRNA (with a specific anti-codon) for a particular amino acid; and 'wobble' base-pairing, i.e. permitting non-standard base-pairing at the 3rd anti-codon position.
Source: RNAcentral
GAGAGAGUAGCUCAAUUAGGUAGAGUGUUGGUCUCCAAAACCAAAGGUUGUAGGUUCGAUUCCUAUCUCUCUUGC